Molecule: ribosomal RNA, 497 nt
Filed under: uncultured bacterium
Lineage: Bacteria
Description: partial 16S ribosomal RNA
Rfam family: Bacterial small subunit ribosomal RNA
Source: RNAcentral
GAUGAACGCUGGCGGCGUGCCUAAUACAUGCAAGUCGAGCGAACAGACGAGGAGCUUGCUCCUCUGACGUUAGCGGCGGACGGGUGAGUAACACGUGGAUAACCUACCUAUAAGACUGGAAUAACUCCGGGAAACCGGGGCUAAUGCCGGAUAACAUUUAGAACCGCAUGGUUCUAAAGUGAAAGAUGGUUUUGCUAUCACUUAUAGAUGGACCCGCGCCGUAUUAGCUAGUUGGUAAGGUAACGGCUUACCAAGGCAACGAUACGUAGCCGACCUGAGAGGGUGAUCGGCCACACUGGAACUGAGACACGGUCCAGACUCCUACGGGAGGCAGCAGUAGGGAAUCUUCCGCAAUGGGCGAAAGCCUGACGGAGCAACGCCGCGUGAGUGAUGAAGGUCUUCGGAUCGUAAAACUCUGUUAUUAGGGAAGAACAAAUGUGUAAGUAACUGUGCACGUCUUGACGGUACCUAAUCAGAAAGCCACGGCUAACUACGUG